Molecule: ribosomal RNA, 503 nt
Filed under: uncultured bacterium
Lineage: Bacteria
Description: bacterial SSU rRNA
Rfam family: Bacterial small subunit ribosomal RNA
Source: RNAcentral
GAACAAACGCUGGCGGCGUGCCUAACACAUGCAAGUCGAACGCGAAAAUCGGCUUCGGCCGAUGAGUAAAGUGGCGCACGGGUGAGUAACGCGUGGAUAAUCUACCCUUCAGUUGGGAAUAACUUAUCGAAAGGUGAGCUAAUACCGAAUAAAACUGCCUGACCACGGUCGGGUAGUCAAAGAUAGCCUCUGCUUGCAAGCUUUCGCUGAAUGAUGAGUCCGCGUACCAUUAGCUAGUUGGUGGGGUAAUGGCCUACCAAGGCGACGAUGGUUAGCUGGUCUGAGAGGAUGAUCAGCCACACUGGAACUGAGACACGGUCCAGACUCCUACGGGAGGCAGCAGUGAGGAAUCUUGCGCAAUGGGGGAAACCCUGACGCAGCAACGCCGCGUGAGUGAGGAAGGUCUUCGGAUCGUAAAGCUCUGUCGGGUGGAAAGAAAUGUAUGGGGUUAAUAGCCUUCAUACUUGACGGUACCACCAAAGGAAGCACCGGCUAACUCCGUG